GAUGAAGAACGCAGCGAAAUGCGAUAAGUAAUGUGAAUUGCAGAAUUCAGUGAAUCAUCGAGUCUUUGAACGCACAUUGCGCCCUCUGGUAUUCCGGAGGGCAUGCCUGUCCGAGCGUCAUUGCUGCCCUCAAGCACGGCUUGUGUGUUGGGCUCCGUCCCCCGAUCCCGGGGGACGGGCCCGAAAGGCAGCGGCGGCACCGCGUCCGGUCCUCGAGCGUAUGGGGCUUUGUCACCCGCUCUGUAGGCCCGGCCGGCGCUUGCCGAUCAACCAAAUUUUUAUCCAGGUUGACCUCGGAUCAGGUAGGGAUACCCGCUGAACUUAAGCAUAUCAAUAAGCGGAGGA
Molecule: unclassified non-coding RNA, 345 nt
Filed under: soil metagenome
Description: partial contains 5.8S ribosomal RNA, internal transcribed spacer 2, and large subunit ribosomal RNA
Rfam family: 5.8S ribosomal RNA (bases 1-120)
Source: RNAcentral